Molecule: long non-coding RNA, 308 nt
Organism: Rhipicephalus microplus (southern cattle tick)
Lineage: Eukaryota; Metazoa; Arthropoda; Arachnida; Ixodida; Ixodidae
Source: RefSeq, a predicted model, not a curated record
CAGGAUCUCGUUGUCUGGACAUCAUUGAAAAUGUGGGAGGUGCGGCACUCAUCAUUCAGACAGCAUGGCGACGGUGGGCUAUGCGGUGGCGUGUGUCUAAAGCGGCGACUGAUGCAGACGAACAAGCCUGGACACAGGCUCUUGACCACUUGCAGCUACUCACCAGGUGCAACUUGUCGAUGCACUGACUUCGCAUGCGGAUUCUGUGGCUUGAUUCUCCUCAACCGUCUUCAAGCGUUCCCUCGAAUGCACAUUCAAAUAAAAAGCCUGAGCCUACUUCCACUGCUGCAGCAUAAGUAGAAAAACUU